RNAcentral lists this non-coding RNA (31 nucleotides) under Homo sapiens (human). Lineage: Eukaryota; Metazoa; Chordata; Mammalia; Primates; Hominidae. The record is from RNAcentral.
GAAACCUCUGUCGCCAGUGGUGCGUUUGCCU